RNAcentral lists this long non-coding RNA (762 nucleotides) under Drosophila guanche. Lineage: Eukaryota; Metazoa; Arthropoda; Insecta; Diptera; Drosophilidae. The record is from RNAcentral.
GCUGAAAGCGGCAAGUGGUGAGAUUCUGUUUGCUCUCCGCUCCCUGGGCUUGUAGUUUUUUACAGCGAAAAUCAUUUCCACCAAAAUACCUAGACUCUCUGAACCCUUGUUUUUAAAGGAAGAUCUGCACCACCGUGAUAAACAACAAGCGCGAACAAAAGACCUGAUUUCAAACUGGAAAUUGCGAAGGCAUACAUAUCUGGAUCUCCAAGGAUAUUCUUUGACUUAUUGAAGAUGCAAAAAAAAACACAUUUCUGAUUUAAUAAGUAAAGAAGCUUACGGUGUAUACGAGUUGGAGUUCGAUAACUAACAUGGGUAUGUUUUUGGCUUUAGCUAUGGGCUAAUUAUAUAGAGACUAAUUUGUUAUGUAUACACCAAUACUCUUUCAGUGGCAAAAACACAAGGAAAGGAAAGGGUUGAGAUAUUCAGCUUUUUUAAUAGCUUUUGAGUUUAACAGAAACAAGUCGAACCAAAGCUAAAAGUCGAGGAUCCCUUUAGGCUGCUAAACUGACUUUGAUUUAAUGAUUUACAGACUAAUAUCGGGCUGAAAGAACAAAAGAAUUGUGUCAUAACUAUUUGAAAAAAAAUCGAUCAAUCAGCAUAUUUAAAAGAAGAAUUUUCAUCACAGAUUCUUGACAGCUAUAUGCUUUAUUUUAAUGCAAUAGUGCUAAUGAAAAUAGGGAAAAUUCGGGGUCAUCAUUAGCGGCUUGGCUAUUAAAAAGAAAAUAUUUUCUUUUAAAGCAUUACUCAAUAAACUUGAAC